Molecule: long non-coding RNA, 459 nt
Filed under: Cricetulus griseus (Chinese hamster)
Lineage: Eukaryota; Metazoa; Chordata; Mammalia; Rodentia; Cricetidae
Description: lncRNA (ENSCGRG00015042484.1)
Source: RNAcentral
AACCCUUUCUUGUGGUCGUUCUUUCUGCAUCUCUUGUCCCCAUUCCCUAUCCCUGACUCUCUUGCCCCAGGUUGAUGUCCUGCAGGUUGGGACAACUGGUACCCAAUGUGGGGCUGGAUAGAGUUGGGAAUCUGGGAACUUCAGUGCUCAUUAGAGGGACGAGCCCGUCCAUGCAGUGAGGUGUCCACGACAAGGUCGAUUGUGAGCCUCAGUUGGAAGAAGACCCAGCGCUUGGGACUUUCGAUUCAUGAGCACCACCUAUGUGGAAAAGCUGCAAAUAGAGAUGGGCAACUGGUAUGGGAGUGUGACCACCUACUGCGCUCAAAUGAUCACAGUCACUUACCUGUUUAACAAUGGGACAAAAACGAGGGUUUCUCUGAGUACCUUUGGAGCCUAUCCUGGCACUCGAUCUGGAGACCAUGCUGGCCUCGAACUCACAGAGAUCCGCCUGCCUCUGCC